AACGCACCUUGCGCUCCUUGGUAUUCCGAGGAGCAUGCUUGUUUGAGUGUCAUUAAAUUCUCAACCCUUUCAAAGUUUUUAUUCAACUUUGAAGUAGGGCUUGGAUUUGGGUGUUGCAGGCUUUUCAAUAGUCGGCUCUCCUUAAAAGUAUUAGCGGAACUUUUUGUAAGCCGUCUACAUAGUGUGAUAAUUAUCUACGCUAUUGAUGUUGCUUACGUUAAUAUAAUAAAAGUUCAGCUUUCUAAUAGUCCAUUUACUUGGACAAUAUCAAUAUUCGUAUUGAUGACCAUUUGACCUCAAAUCAAGUAGGACUACCCGCUGAACUUAA
RNAcentral lists this unclassified non-coding RNA (328 nucleotides) under uncultured fungus. Its description in RNAcentral is "sequence contains ITS2". The stretch from base 1 to 52 matches the Rfam family "5.8S ribosomal RNA", at positions 103 to 154 of the family's 154-position model. The record is from RNAcentral. Lineage: Eukaryota; Fungi.